Molecule: long non-coding RNA, 1425 nt
Organism: Plodia interpunctella (Indianmeal moth)
Lineage: Eukaryota; Metazoa; Arthropoda; Insecta; Lepidoptera; Pyralidae
Exons: 6
Source: RefSeq, a predicted model, not a curated record
GUCAUCAGUCAUCAUUUUCAAGCAAACCUUCAACCAGAAAAGCGAUAAAAUUUUAUUAUAAAAAAUUUAAAAAAGUAACAAAUAAAAGAUGUGCUGGUUAGGCUGGGCUGUGGCGUUCUCUCUGCUGUCCUACAUGUUUAUGAUACCACAAGGAGCGGUGCAAACCCCACAUUAACGUUUUUCGACAACCUUAAAGAUUUGUCUAUCACCAACAUUAUUGGCUACUUUAUUUAUAACUGUUUACUAAAGGACCUGAACACGCCUUUACCAGUAUAUAUUUUAAAAAAUCGAUAAAAAGAGUAAAAUGUAAAAUGUAAAAUAUUACCAACAUAAAAAUAAAUGUUCGUGAAUUCACUAAGACUUUCACUACGAUUAUCCUAAACACAUGAACACAUGUAAAUGAUAAGUUGAUAUAAGAUAAAAUAUCCAAUCAAUGCACCAACAAAUUGUACAUUCGUUUUUUACGCAACAGGAGCGCUCCCAUGCGGCAAUUACAGAAUAUUUUCCACGUUGCGGCCGCUUGUCCUUUGUUCACAAAUAAAUUAUAGAGGUGCAUCCACAUGCGACGGUCGCGUCGGCGACAGAUCGCACCAAUUUGAAUAUUAAUAGUUGCAACGGCGCGUGAAAAUGACGCUGGGAGAUACAUGUUUACAACUGGCUGGAAACGACACAGAGGAAUGACGAAAUUCUAGAAUAGUGUGAGAUACGUAAAUAAGCCGCAACAUUGCCACUUGUACCCGGCCGACGAAGCGCGACGACAAUGUGACCGCGCCCUUAGACCCACUUCGUCCGAUGCAUAAAUCAAACGCUAAUAAAUAUCAUACGUACUCGUUUCCGGCACAGCUUUCAAUGGUGUCGAUAUAAGGGUUAAAUAUAUACGCAACUUGGCACCUUAGCACCAUAUGUGAAGCGCCUACUUCUAUCUCAUCUGAGCGUUCCUCGUUACUUACCCAGCCGUUGAGCGUCAGAGCCCAGGAUCCGCUGCACUCCAAAGAGGCGCCUAUCUAAAUAUGUAUAAAGUUUGCGACAUCAGAUCUUCUUCUGUUGCUCCUAGGCGUGCGUCAGUCGUCAGUGCGAUUAAUUGCAAGCCCCAAACAGAACAGGAGCUCUUUGAGAAGGCUUGACGUGCGAAAGAUUUAACUAUCGUCUGGAUGCGGCACCUUAUUAUAUUUCCUCAGUAAAGUAUACCUUAGGAUCAUAAAUCGUUUGAGAAUUCUACUGGAACUAUUAUAAAAAUUCCUAGCAUAUUUAGAAAUUUACAUAAGUCUUUAAAGAAAGAUGAUUUUAUUACGAAUUCGAAAAACGAAUCGUACAUACUAAUUCGAUGCAGCCCCUAAACCUUUGUCAAAUUUGUUGCUUGUACUUAUCCAGUAGUAGUAAAUAAACGUUUAAUUUAUCUAUCUUUAUCUACCUAAAUACUUUGUA